Molecule: unclassified non-coding RNA, 312 nt
Filed under: plant metagenome
Description: partial contains 5.8S ribosomal RNA, internal transcribed spacer 2, and large subunit ribosomal RNA
Rfam family: 5.8S ribosomal RNA (bases 1-103)
Source: RNAcentral
AAUGCGAUAAUUAAUGUGAAUUGCAGAAUUCAGUGAAUCAUCGAGUCUUUGAACGCACAUUGCGCCCCCUGGUAUUCCGGGGGGCAUGCCUGUCCGAGCGUCAUUGCUGCCCUCAAGCACGGCUUGUGUGUUGGGCUUCCGUCCCUGGCAACGGGGACGGGCCCAAAAGGCAGUGGCGGCACCAUGUCUGGUCCUCGAGCGUAUGGGGCUUCGUCACCCGCUCCCGUAGGUCCAGCUGGCAGCUAGCCUCGCAACCAAUCUUUUUAACCAGGUUGACCUCGGAUCAGGUAGGGAUACCCGCUGAACUUAAGC